UACGUAGGGACCAAGCGUUGUUCGGAUUUACUGGGCGUAAAGGGCGCGUAGGCGGCAUGACAAGUCACUUGUGAAAUCUCUGGGCUUAACCCAGAACGGCCAAGUGAUACUGUCGCGCUAGAGUGCGGAAGGGGCAAUCGGAAUUCUCGGUGUAGCGGUGAAAUGCGUAGAUAUCGAGAGGAACACCUGAGGUGAAGACGGGUUGCUGGGCUGACACUGACGCUGAGGCGCGAAAGCUAGGGUAGCAAACGGG
RNAcentral lists this ribosomal RNA (253 nucleotides) under uncultured bacterium. RNAcentral's name for it is "partial 16S ribosomal RNA". It matches the Rfam family "Bacterial small subunit ribosomal RNA", at positions 524 to 776 of the family's 1533-position model. The record is from RNAcentral.